AUUGAACGCUGGCGGAAUGCUUUACACAUGCAAGUCGAACGGCAGCACGGACUUCGGUCUGGUGGCGAGUGGCGAACGGGUGAGUAACAUAUCGGAACGUAUCCAAUAAUGGGGGAUAACUAAUCGAAAGGUUGGCUAAUACCGCAUACGCCCUACGGGGAAAGCUAGGGACCUUCGGGCCUGGCGUUAAUGGAGCGGCCGAUAUCUGAUUAGCUAGUUGGUGGGGUAAAGGCCCACCAAGGCGACGAUCAGUAGCUGGUCUGAGAGGACGACCAGCCACACUGGAACUGAGACACGGUCCAGACUCCUACGGAGGCAGCAGUGGGGAAUUUUGGACAAUGGGCGCAAGCCUGAUCCAGCCAUUCCGCGUGAGUGAAGAAGGGCC
Molecule: ribosomal RNA, 385 nt
Filed under: uncultured bacterium
Lineage: Bacteria
Description: bacterial SSU rRNA
Rfam family: Bacterial small subunit ribosomal RNA
Source: RNAcentral